This 253-nucleotide ribosomal RNA is filed under the name uncultured bacterium. RNAcentral's name for it is "partial 16S ribosomal RNA". It matches the Rfam family "Bacterial small subunit ribosomal RNA", at positions 524 to 776 of the family's 1533-position model. The record is from RNAcentral.
UACGGAGGGUGCAAGCGUUAUCCGGAUUCACUGGGUUUAAAGGGUGUGUAGGCGGGCAGAUAAGUCAGUGGUGAAAUCCCCGAGCUUAACUUGGGAACUGCCAUUGAUACUAUUUGUCUUGAAUGUCGUGGAGGUUAGCGGAAUAUGUCAUGUAGCGGUGAAAUGCUUAGAUAUGACAUAGAACACCUAUUGCGAAGGCAGCUAACUACGCGAAUAUUGACGCUGAGGCACGAAAGCGUGGGGAUCAAACAGG